UACGGAGGGUGCAAGCGUUGCUCGGAAUCACUGGGCGUAAAGAGCGUGUAGGCGGUUUCGUAUGUCUGACGUGAAAGCCCCGGGCUCACCCCGGGAAGUGCGUUGGAAACUGCGAGGCUAGAGUCCCGGAGAGGAAGGUGGAAUUCCAGGUGUAGCGGUGAAAUGCGUAGAUAUCUGGAAGAACACCGGUGGCGAAGGCGGCCUUCUGGACGGUGACUGACGCUGAGACGCGAAAGCGUGGGGAGCAAACAGG
RNAcentral lists this ribosomal RNA (253 nucleotides) under uncultured bacterium. RNAcentral describes it as "partial 16S ribosomal RNA". It matches the Rfam family "Bacterial small subunit ribosomal RNA", at positions 524 to 776 of the family's 1533-position model. The record is from RNAcentral.